Molecule: ribosomal RNA, 837 nt
Filed under: Streptomyces sp. IM-7167
Lineage: Bacteria; Bacillati; Actinomycetota; Actinomycetes; Kitasatosporales; Streptomycetaceae
Description: bacterial SSU rRNA
Rfam family: Bacterial small subunit ribosomal RNA
Source: RNAcentral
GGCGGCGUGCUUAACACAUGCAAGUCGAACGAUGAAGCCCUUCGGGGUGGAUUAGUGGCGAACGGGUGAGUAACACGUGGGCAAUCUGCCCUGCACUCUGGGACAAGCCCUGGAAACGGGGUCUAAUACCGGAUACGAGCCUGGGAGGCAUCUGCGCAUGGUGGAAAGCUCCGGCGGUGCAGGAUGAGCCCGCGGCCUAUCAGCUUGUUGGUGAGGUAAUGGCUCACCAAGGCGACGACGGGUAGCCGGCCUGAGAGGGCGACCGGCCACACUGGGACUGAGACACGGCCCAGACUCCUACGGGAGGCAGCAGUGGGGAAUAUUGCACAAUGGGCGAAAGCCUGAUGCAGCGACGCCGCGUGAGGGAUGACGGCCUUCGGGUUGUAAACCUCUUUCAGCAGGGAAGAAGCGCAAGUGACGGUACCUGCAGAAGAAGCGCCGGCUAACUACGUGCCAGCAGCCGCGGUAAUACGUAGGGCGCAAGCGUUGUCCGGAAUUAUUGGGCGUAAAGAGCUCGUAGGCGGCUUGUCACGUCGAUUGUGAAAGCCCGAGGCUUAACCUCGGGUCUGCAGUCGAUACGGGCUAGCUAGAGUGUGGUAGGGGAGAUCGGAAUUCCUGGUGUAGCGGUGAAAUGCGCAGAUAUCAGGAGGAACACCGGUGGCGAAGGCGGAUCUCUGGGCCAUUACUGACGCUGAGGAGCGAAAGCGUGGGGAGCGAACAGGAUUAGAUACCCUGGUAGUCCACGCCGUAAACGGUGGGAACUAGGUGUUGGCGACAUUCCACGUCGUCGGUGCCGCAGCUAACGCAUUAAGUUCCCCGCCUGGGGAGUACGGCCGC